RNAcentral lists this unclassified non-coding RNA (1087 nucleotides) under Leishmania donovani. RNAcentral's name for it is "gene:LdHU3.34.5310(CDS-product:D-Tyr-tRNA(Tyr)_de acylase_putative)". Lineage: Eukaryota; Euglenozoa; Kinetoplastea; Trypanosomatida; Trypanosomatidae. The record is from RNAcentral.
CCUGGAUUAUUCAUUCAUUACGGGAAGAUUGUGCGUGCAGGUCACAUCAUGACAAUUCGGGUUAUGCUGCAGGCGAUGGACCAGGGCCAUCUGCUGGUAAACAACGUUGACAAGUAUGUCCGCGCAGGACGUGGGGUCAUGGUUUACAUUGCCUUCCUCUCAGACAGAGACAGCGCACCGAUCACCGACGAGGCUCUGCGCCACGCCGUGGAUGUGCUGCUCCAGACCAAAAUCUUCACGCACUUUUCACCAGAAAAGAUGAUCAACCAGCCCCAAUCGCUGGAAGAGUGUCCUGAGAUGGACAUCCUCAUUGUUCCACAGGCGUCGCUGGGCGGCAAGGUGAAGGGGCGUUCGGUGCAGUUUCACCAGCUCGUCGCCAAGGGCGUGGGCGCAGCGCUGUACGAUCGCUUCUGCCACUUUGUCCGCGUCGCCCGCGGAGUGGAUGAGUCCCGCGUGGACGCCAAUGGGGCACCACUGAACGAAGGAGAUGCUCCGAAGGCGGAGGGCUGGAUCAAGUACAACUCCCGCGUCAUCUCCGGCACCUUUGGGAAUCGCCAGGGUCUGCGAUUCGAAUCGGAAGGGCCGUUCACGCACAUGUUUGACAUUUGAUUCUGGCGACGCCGAAGGGAAAAUCGAAGAUUGGAGGUGUCGAUGCGAUCAACAACUCAAACGCAACGCGCGUGACGCCAGAGCAUCCCCUCUGCGUACGUGGAGGACAGAAGACCUCGCGGCAAACAGUAACGCUCUUCUCGACGCUCGUCUUUCCCCACUCCCUCUCCGAGCGCCAGCCGCAUCUUCAUCUUGGGUGCGAGUGACAGGUAUGCCUUUCGCUCGCGGUUUGGGAAAGGACGAGGAAGACGGUGCAGUGCGCGCACAACCGGAAAGGUAUAUUUGCAGCGCGUAGAACGUGUGAGAAGGUUGAAUCAUCUGUGUGUGUGUGUGUGUGUGUUCGACUCUCUGUCUGCGGUGGUGCGGUCAUCGAUUGCGGAACGCUGCCCCUUUUCGAUGCAGCGUGUACGAAACCGUGCAUCCUGUAGAGCUGCACACGCUUCACCGUGUUGACGACGUUUACAGACCCAACGGAAAC